AUUGAACGCUGGCGGCAGGCCUAACACAUGCAAGUCGAGCGGAGCGGCGGACGGGGGAGUAAUGCCUAGGAAUCUGCCUGGUAGUGGGGGAUGACGUACGGAAACGGACGCUAAUACCACAUACUAUCAGAAGAGCCUAGGGCGGAUUAGCUAGUUGGUGGGGUAAAGGCCUACCAAGGCGACGAUCCGUAACUGGUCUGAGAGGCUGAUCAGUCACACUGGAACUGAGACACGGUCCAGACUCCUACGGUAGGCAGCAGUGGGGAAUAUUGGACAAUGGGCGAAAGCCUGAUCCAGCCAUGCCGCGUGUGUGAAGAAGGUCUUCGGAUUGUAAAGCACUUUAAGUUGGGAGGCGUUACCAACAGAAUAAGCACCGGCUAACUUCGUGCCAGCAGCCGCGGUAAUUC
This 407-nucleotide ribosomal RNA is filed under the name uncultured bacterium. RNAcentral describes it as "partial 16S ribosomal RNA". It matches the Rfam family "Bacterial small subunit ribosomal RNA", at positions 30 to 526 of the family's 1533-position model. The record is from RNAcentral.